GACGAACGCUGGCGGCGUGCCUAAUACAUGCAAGUCGAGCGAGCUUGCCUAGAUGAAUUUGGUGCUUGCACCAGAUGAAACUAGAUACAAGCGAGCGGCGGACGGGUGAGUAACACGUGGGUAACCUGCCCAAGAGACUGGGAUAACACCUGGAAACAGAUGCUAAUACCGGAUAACAACACUAGACGCAUGUCUAGAGUUUAAAAGAUGGUUCUGCUAUCACUCUUGGAUGGACCUGCGGUGCAUUAGCUAGUUGGUAAGGCAACGGCUUACCAAGGCAAUGAUGCAUAGCCGAGUUGAGAGACUGAUCGGCCACAUUGGGACUGAGACACGGCCCAAACUCCUACGGGAGGCAGCAGUAGGGAAUUUUCCACAAUGGACGCAAGUCUGAUGGAGCAACGCCGCGUGAGUGAAGAAGGGUUUCGGCUCGUAAAGCCCUGUUGGUAGUGAAGAAAGAUAGAGGUAGUAACUGGCCUUUAUUUGACGGUAAUUACUUAGAAAGUCACGGCUAACUACGUG
RNAcentral lists this ribosomal RNA (519 nucleotides) under uncultured bacterium. Its description in RNAcentral is "partial 16S ribosomal RNA". It matches the Rfam family "Bacterial small subunit ribosomal RNA", at positions 28 to 507 of the family's 1533-position model. The record is from RNAcentral.